CAUCCUUGAUCGGGAGGUCCGGGUAAUCUUUUGAAACUUCAUCGUGCUGGGGAUAGUCCCUUGCAAUUUUUGGACUUUAACGAGGAAUUCCUAGUAAGCGUGAGUCAUCAACUCGCGUUGAUUACGUCCCUGCCCUUUGUACACACCGCCCGUCGCUACUACCGAUUGAAUGGCUUAGUGAAUCCUUCGGAUUGGCUUUCUUUUUCUGGCAACAGAAUUUGAUCGCUGAAAAGUUGGGCAAACUUGGUCAUUUAGAGGAAGUAAAAGUCGUAACAAGGUUUCCGUAGGUGAACCUGCGGAAGGAUCAUUAAUAAAUUUUCCAACGAUUGGUGUUGGAAUAAUAAUAAUCAUCCUACCCUUUGUGAAUUUGUUUGUUUGAAAUAAUUUUUUUUUAAAAAAUUAUUUGAAUGUCUUUCCCUGAAAUUGUGAGGAGCUGUAAUGGUAACUUGCAAUUCAGGGGAUAGAUUUUCUAGUAAUUUUUUAGGAAAGACCUUUUUUUAAAAUAAAACUUUAUGUAUUCAUUUGUCUAAAAAAAAUUUUUAAAUAAAUAAUUUAAAAACAACUUUUGACAAUGGAUCUCUUGGUUCUCGCAACGAUGAAGAACGCAGCAAAAUGCGAUAAGUAGUGUGAAUUGCAGAAUACGUGAAUCAUCGAAUCUUCGAACGCAUAUUGCAC
This 675-nucleotide ribosomal RNA is filed under the name Anaeromyces sp. RNAcentral describes it as "bacterial SSU rRNA". The stretch from base 1 to 310 matches the Rfam family "Eukaryotic small subunit ribosomal RNA", at positions 1524 to 1831 of the family's 1831-position model. The record is from RNAcentral. Lineage: Eukaryota; Fungi; Neocallimastigomycota; Neocallimastigomycetes; Neocallimastigales; Neocallimastigaceae.